GUGUCUUAAGACAUCUGAGUGAAAAGUGGGACGUUGAGGCUGGCAGAAGAGAGCGUGAGCACAGUUUGUUCCAUGUGUCGAUAAAAAUAUGGAUACAGAGAGAACAAGAGGCAGGGGGGAAGAGAGAGAAAUAAGAAAGGAAGAAAUGCUGACAACACAGAGGUUAGCUCACAUUCACUCCUCUGUCAAUGAAAUGUGUAAGGUCACGGUUUGGUCAGUCACACGUACUGAAAGAGAAUUCAGCGGAAGACUUGUAAAAGAAGCCCUUUCUGAGUUGACCGGCGCGCUGCAAGGGAAGUUUUCUUUUACGGCGGUUUAAAUAAGUCUGUUUUACAGAGCUGUGCUUACUGUGGUAUUUUUUGGUGGCACAUUGACUUAACCAACACUUUUUUUCCAACAUGUUCCUCACAUCUUUUAAAUUUGUCACCGCUCUCGCCUGUGCCCCUCGCCUUCCUUUACGGCCGCCACCCACCGCGGGAGACUCCAGACUUGCUCCUCCACCCUCCCUUUUCCUCUUGUCUUCCCUUUUAUUUUGUCGUUUUCCCAUAAACAAAGCCCACAGCAAGAGAAUGGCCCGUAUGAAGGAGCCGGGAGUUGUUUUAUAUCCGUUCACUGUUAGUGUUGGGGACUCUUUAUGGCCUUGCUGGCUCCAGUGACGCGUAGAGAGGGUCGGAGAGCUCAACCCACCUCCUAGAAAGCGGUUCACUUCUUGUAACCUUGAAGCCUUUGGGUUUUACUGCCAUUUAAUUGUGUCUGACAGUAAAAACUCUGGCAUAGGUCGCUAUAGCGAUGAAAUACAUUAUUGCCAUUUGGAGAGGACUUUGUGUUGAGUGCUUUUUUUUUUUUUGCUCUGAGGUAUUUAUGAUUUGUCCUGGGAAAGAGCAAACAUGAGGAUAUCCUGUGAUUUGUGGAAGUAAAUAGAAAAUGCAUUCUACAGGAUGCUAAACAAAAAGUAGUCUUUCAGAAUAUUUAAGAGAUUUUCUUUUCCCAAGACUUGGUGUACCCAUUUAGGUAUUUGUUUUUAUAAUUAUAAUUAUGGUUAUAACACUUUUGUUUUGAUAGAAAUAAAGUAAAAACAACAGUGAGAAAAUGACCCAAUAAGUAGAAUGAAAGUAAAUUAAUAAAACAAUACCAAGUAUCAUACGUAUCAUAUACAAG
Long non-coding RNA from Clupea harengus (Atlantic herring), 1158 nucleotides. The record is from Ensembl. NCBI's taxonomy places the organism in Eukaryota, Metazoa, Chordata, Actinopteri, Clupeiformes, Clupeidae.